UGUGCCAGCAGCCGCGGUAAUACGUAGGGUGCGAGCGUUAAUCGGAAUUACUGGGCGUAAAGCGUGCGCAGGCGGUUUGUUAAGACGGAUGUGAAAUCCCCGGGCUCAACCUGGGAACUGCAUUCGUGACUGGCAAGCUAGAGUAUGGCAGAGGGGGGUAGAAUUCCACGUGUAGCAGUGAAAUGCGUAGAGAUGUGGAGGAAUACCGAUGGCGAAGGCAGCCCCCUGGGCCAAUACUGACGCUCAUGCACGAAAGCGUGGGGAGCAAACAGGAUUAGAUACCCUGGUAGUCCACGCCCUAAACGAUGUCAACUAGUUGUCGGGUCUUCAUUGACUUGGUAACGUAGCUAACGCGUGAAGUUGACCGCCUGGGGAGUACGGCCGCAAGAUUAAAACUCAAAGGAAUUGACGGGA
Molecule: ribosomal RNA, 414 nt
Filed under: uncultured Burkholderia sp.
Lineage: Bacteria; Pseudomonadati; Pseudomonadota; Betaproteobacteria; Burkholderiales; Burkholderiaceae
Description: bacterial SSU rRNA
Rfam family: Bacterial small subunit ribosomal RNA
Source: RNAcentral